RNAcentral lists this ribosomal RNA (710 nucleotides) under uncultured bacterium. RNAcentral describes it as "bacterial SSU rRNA". It matches the Rfam family "Bacterial small subunit ribosomal RNA", at positions 117 to 795 of the family's 1533-position model. The record is from RNAcentral.
GUGGAUAACGUACCCCGAGGCCCGGCUCCCUCUGAAUGAGGGAGGGAGAUACCAAAAUACAGCUUGUCCGCAUAAGGCAUGGAAUCACAUGAGUCCUUCAGCUCCGCUGCGGCAACCUACUGCUAACAAUCGGAUGCACGGCGCAUUAACUGCCCGCCGUGGCAAGGGCCUACCUCCGCCCUGAGAGGGCGGACACCUGAAUUGGUGAUCGGCCACAUUGCAAAUGACAACCGGACCAAACUCCUACGAAAAUUCCCCAUUGGGAAUCUUCCUGACUGAACGCCACCCUGAGAAAGAAACGCCCCGUGAGUGUGUAAAGUUUUUUUAUGUCCAAGCUCUGUUGGUAGAAAAAAAUGCCUGAUAGAUGACCUGUUAUGCGUGUGACGCUCUCUAACCUUACAUGCCCGGCUAACUACGUGCCAGCAACCUCGGAACUACGUUCGUGGCUAUUGUUGUCCGAAUUUAUUGAGGCUAUUUCGAGUGAACGAUGUCUUUUCCCUCUGAUCUGACUGCCCACUGCUCUGCCGACUACGAACAUUGAAUGCUGGAAAACUUGAUUGCAUUCCACGAGAACGGAAUUCCAUGUGUAAUGUGCAAAUGAACACAUAUGUGCGAAGAACACCUCCUGCGACUGCACUUCUCUGCACUGUCAAUGACGCUGAGAGUCGACAGCGUGAGGUGCACAGAUGAUCAAAUCCCUAGACGAUGUC